CCGAAGCAUAUGUGAUCUAUUGGCGAGGAAGCUUUGGUGAAGGGUGAAACUCCCUGACCCAGAUUUGAUCCUCAGAAAUGUAUGCGGUCUGACUACCUCCUGCCAUUAAUAAAAUAAUAUUUUAAAUUCGAAACAGACAGUGUGGUGGUCUUUCGGAGAAAAGUCCACUCUGAAGCAUAGCAGUGCAUUUCUACCGGGAUUGACUAGGGUUUAUCAAAAAGA
This 222-nucleotide small RNA is filed under the name Arabidopsis thaliana (thale cress). Its description in RNAcentral is "ATSL256680". Lineage: Eukaryota; Viridiplantae; Streptophyta; Magnoliopsida; Brassicales; Brassicaceae. The record is from RNAcentral.